AGCUUUUACGAGGUACCAGCACUUUCCUCUCGUUGGGGCGAAGGAGUGAGGAAAGGCCCGAACAGCAGCAGACUUUGAAACUGUAAACACAGGCGCGUCCAAGUGCCCGAGCCCGCCUUUGCAUUUUCCUUCACCUUCUACGGAGCUGUCAGUGGCCGCCUACUUCACUUCUUUUAAGAGGAAGAAGGGCGCCCUGGCCACG
Molecule: non-coding RNA, 202 nt
Filed under: Myotis brandtii (Brandt's bat)
Lineage: Eukaryota; Metazoa; Chordata; Mammalia; Chiroptera; Vespertilionidae
Description: Connexin-43 internal ribosome entry site (IRES)
Rfam family: Connexin-43 internal ribosome entry site (IRES)
About the family: This family represents the connexin-43 internal ribosome entry site (IRES) which allows cap independent translation during conditions such as heat shock and stress.
Source: Rfam by way of RNAcentral